UACGAAGGGGGCUAGCGUUGCUCGGAAUCACUGGGCGUAAAGGGUGCGUAGGCGGGUCUUUAAGUCAGGGGUGAAAUCCUGGAGCUCAACUCCAGAACUGCCUUUGAUACUGAAGAUCUUGAGUCCGGGAGAGGUGAGUGGAACUGCGAGUGUAGAGGUGAAAUUCGUAGAUAUUCGGAGGAACACCAGAAGCGAAGGCGGCUCACUGGCCCGAUACUGACGCUGAGGCGCGAAAGCGUGGGGAGCAAACAGG
This 253-nucleotide ribosomal RNA is filed under the name uncultured bacterium. Its description in RNAcentral is "partial 16S ribosomal RNA". It matches the Rfam family "Bacterial small subunit ribosomal RNA", at positions 524 to 776 of the family's 1533-position model. The record is from RNAcentral.